Molecule: transfer RNA, 67 nt
Filed under: Apicotermes occultus
Lineage: Eukaryota; Metazoa; Arthropoda; Insecta; Blattodea; Termitidae
Description: tRNA-Pro
Source: RNAcentral
CAGGGGGUAUUUUAUAUAAAAUGUUAGUUUUGGGGAUUAAUGAAAUGGCAGUAUGCUUUUCUCCUGA